Molecule: ribosomal RNA, 460 nt
Filed under: uncultured bacterium
Lineage: Bacteria
Description: partial 16S ribosomal RNA
Rfam family: Bacterial small subunit ribosomal RNA
Source: RNAcentral
CCUACGGGUGGCAGCAGUGAGGAAUAUUGGUCAAUGGACGAGAGUCUGAACCAGCCAAGUAGCGUGAAGGAUGACUGCCCUAUGGGUUGUAAACUUCUUUUAUAUGGGAAUAAAAUGUUCCACGUGUGGGCUUUUGUAUGUACCAUAUGAAUAAGGCUCGGCUAACUCCGUGCCAGCAGCCGCGGUAAUACGGAGGAUCCGAGCGUUAUCCGGAUUUAUUGGGUUUAAAGGGAGCGUAGGUGGAUUGUUAAGUCAGUUGUGAAAGUUUGCGGCUCAACCGUAAAAUUGCAGUUGAAACUGGCAGUCUUGAGUACAGUAGAGGUGGGCGGAAUUCGUGGUGUAGCGGUGAAAUGCUUAGAUAUCAAGAAGAACUCCGAUUGCGAAGGCAGCUCACUGGACUGCAACUGACACUGAGGCUCGAAAGUGUGGGUAUCAAACAGGAUUAGAUACCCUGGUAGUC